AGAACUGCCACGUGGGGAUGAGAUUUGCUGGGCUGGUAGCGGCGGCUGCUGCGGGAGGUCCCGCCCACGUGAAGCCAGCCUAACUGAGCUCUGGACUUUGGGGACAGCUGUCAGUGGCCUAGGCCGCAGGACACCAUGAAGCAACUGCCAGUCUUGGAACCUGGAGACAAGCCCAGGAAAGCAACAUGGUACACCUUGACUGUCCCUGGAGACAGCCCCUGUGCUCGAGUUGGCCACAGCUGUUCAUAUUUACCCCCAGUUGGUAAUGCCAAGAGAGGGAAGGUCUUCAUUGUUGGGGGAGCAAAUCCAAACAGAAGCUUCUCAGACGUGCACACCAUGGAUCUGGGAAAACACCAGUGGGACUUAGAUACCUGCAAGGGCCUCUUGCCCCGGUAUGAACAUGCUAGCUUCAUUCCCUCCUGCACACCUGACCGUAUCUGGGUAUUUGGAGGUGCCAACCAAUCAGGAAAUCGAAAUUGUCUACAAGUCCUGAAUCCUGGUAAGUAGCCAAAGGUUAUUUUAUUUACGUACAUACAAAUAAACUUUCAUGCACACACACACACAUAUAUAUAAAUCCAAUUAUAAUUCCAGUACAUUUGGAUUAUACUAAUUACCAUUUAACUUUGCUGACAUAGAAAAUAGGAAUUUUAACUUGUAGCAUAAUCUG
RNAcentral lists this long non-coding RNA (667 nucleotides) under Homo sapiens (human). Its description in RNAcentral is "HSALNT0155296". Lineage: Eukaryota; Metazoa; Chordata; Mammalia; Primates; Hominidae. The record is from RNAcentral.